RNA transcript from Nomascus leucogenys (northern white-cheeked gibbon), 1550 nucleotides. It is a transcript of the gene named heterogeneous nuclear ribonucleoprotein A3 pseudogene, with no coding region annotated. NCBI's taxonomy places the organism in Eukaryota, Metazoa, Chordata, Mammalia, Primates, Hylobatidae. The record is from RefSeq and is a predicted model, not a curated record. The transcript has a single exon.
AUGGAGGUAAAACCACCACCAGGUCGCCCCCAGCCCGACUCCAGCCGUCGGCCGUCGCUGCCAGAGAGAGGAGGGCCAUGAUCCAAAGGAACCAGAGCAGGUGGGAAAACUGUUUAUUGGUGGUCUGAGCUUUGAAACUACAGAUGAUAGUUUAAGAGAACAUUUUGAGAAAUGGGGCACACUCACAGAUUGUGUGGUAAUGAGAGACUCCCAAACAAAACGUUCCAGGGGCUUAGGUUUUGUGACUUAUUCUUGUGUUACAGAGGUGGAUGCAGCAAUGUGUGCUUGACCACACAAGGUUGAUGGGCGUGCAGUGGAACCAAAGAGAGCUGUUUCUAGAGAGGAUUCUGUAAAGCCUGGUGCCCAUCUAACAGUGAAGAAAAUUUUUGUUGGUGGUAUUAAAGAAGAUACAGAAGAAUAUAAUUUGAGAAACUACUUUGAAAAGUAUGGCAAGAUUGAAACCAUAGAAGUUAUGGAAGACAGACAGGCAGAAUGGAAAAAAGAGAGGAUUUGCUUUUGUAACUUUCGAUGGUCACGAUACAGUUGAUAAAAUUGUUGUUCAGAAAUACCACACUAUUAAUAGGCAUAAUUGUGAAGUGAAAAAGGCCGUUUCUAAAUAAGAGAUGCAGUCUCCUGCAUCACAGAGGGGUCGUGGAGGUGGAUCAGGCAAUUUUAUGGGUUGCAGAGGAAACUUUGGAGGUGGUGGAGGUAAUUUUGGCUGCGGUGGAAACUUUGGUGGAAGAGGAGGCUACGGUGGUGGAGGUGGUGGCAGCAGAGGUAGUUAUGGAGGAGUUGAUGGUGGAUAUAAUGGAUUUGGAGGUGAUGGUGGCAACUAUGGCAGUGGUCCUGGUUGUAGUAGUAGAGGGGGCUAUGGUGGUGGUGGACCAGGAUAUGGAAACCAAGGUGGUGGAUAUGGUGGAGGUGGUGGAGGAUAUGAUGGUUACAAUGAAGGAGGAAAUUUUGGCGGUGGUAACUGUGGUGGUGGUGGGAACUAUAAUGAUUUUGGAAAUUAUAGUGGACAACAGCAAUCAAAUUAUGGACCCAUGAAAGGGGGCAGUUUUGGUGGAAGAAGCUCGGGCAGUCCCUAUGGUGGUGGUUAUGGAUCUGGUGGUGGAAGUGGUGGAUAUGGUAGCAGCAGAUUGUAAAAACAGGAGGAAAGGGCUACAGUUCUUAGCAGGAGAGAGAGCGAGGAGUUGUCAGGAAAGCGAGGAUCAGGUUACUUUGAGACAGUCGUCCCAAAUGCAUUAGAGGAACUGUAAAAAUCUGCCACAGAAGGAACGAUGAUCCAUAGUCAGAAAAGUUACUGCAGCUUAAACAGGAAACCCUUCUUGUUCAGGACUGUCAUAGCCACAGUUUGCAAAAAGUGCAGCUAUUGAUUAAUGCAAUGUAGUGUCAAUUAGAUGUACAUUCCUGAGGUCUUUUUUCUGUUGUAGCUUUGUCUUUUUCUUUUUCUUUUCAUUACAUCAGGUAUAUUGCCCUGUAAAUUGUGGUAGUGGUACCAGGAAUAAAAAAUUAAGGAAUUUUUAACUUUUCAAAAAAAAAAAAAAAAA